This 443-nucleotide small RNA is filed under the name Drosophila mojavensis. Its description in RNAcentral is "GI27039". The record is from RNAcentral. Lineage: Eukaryota; Metazoa; Arthropoda; Insecta; Diptera; Drosophilidae.
UGUUGUUGCUUUCUGGUCUUGAAUCUGAUGUAAUCACAGCAGUACUAUAUGGUAGAGUUUUAGCUUUGCAGCAAAUGCUAAAGAAUCACCUCAGACUUAGAUGUAAAAACACUUUUAUUGAUAAGCAAAGAUUUCGCAAGAAGAGAGCAAAGUAUGUUAUUAUAAUUCUGUUAAAUAUUCCAAACUCAAUAAAUAUCUAUGUAAACAGUUUGUACUCUAUUUAUGGGCAAGCAAGCAGCACUCGAGGCAAGACGCAAUAUCUUCAUCAAGCGCUAUGACGAGCGGACUCGCUACUAGAUUCUAAAUAACAUCUGUUAGCUUCCAUUGAUGGGUGAAUCAGUAUGAGGGAAGAUGGUACUUUAGCCAUAAAUUAUGGCAUUUCAAACGGUUUUUCGAUUUAAUGUGUUGUUUUAGCUGUAAGUAAAGAGAUAAUGAUUACCGAA